GAUGCAGACGUCACAAAGCUGCCCACAAAAUCUCGUGCCGAUCGAAAAACCGACGAGACCACGAUCUCAGUUUCAAUCUCCGCUGGUCCUAAUUCGCGUCUGAGAAAACGUGUCUCACAAAACUGUGAAUAACUCAACCAAUUUUAAUCCAAAUCCAAUUCUGUAAACUGGAAAAUAACGAUAAAGGACUUGGAAAUAACUCUACCAAAU
Molecule: small RNA, 210 nt
Filed under: Arabidopsis thaliana (thale cress)
Lineage: Eukaryota; Viridiplantae; Streptophyta; Magnoliopsida; Brassicales; Brassicaceae
Description: ATSL160300
Source: RNAcentral